Molecule: non-coding RNA, 1628 nt
Organism: Dermacentor albipictus
Lineage: Eukaryota; Metazoa; Arthropoda; Arachnida; Ixodida; Ixodidae
Source: RefSeq, a predicted model, not a curated record
UGUUAUCUCGGUGAUAACGGCAAUUGUGAUCCAGUAGCGAAGAUCGGUAAUGUAAGGUGCACGAAGGAAAGAUGGCUGAGCACAGGAAUGCGUGAGCCAACAGUUGAAAAUUUCGAUCAAAAUUGGUUUAAGAAGCGGCCGCUGGGAUCCCCGCCCGUCGUGUCAUAUUUCACGUUAUGCCGUAACCCGCGUCAGCUGAGCCCACGCACCGUGCCAUAUGCUCUGGCAGUGAUUGUCAACGUUAGACGCCGUGCCCAUGUCUUUAUGCCAUGUCUACCACUUCACUUAUUCCACUAUAACCGUGGCUUCCACCACGGUGUAAUGCUUGGAAAUUGUGCGUCGCGGGCGCUGCAGUUAUGGCCUCUUACGUCUACAUGCGUGGUUAUCGAACUCGCUUUUGUCCCGGAAUCCUCGCACGGCCAAUUGGAGUUCCUGGAAUACAGAUGGUACGUCCGGCGGUCAUUCCAUUCCUUCUAUCGCACGAGCUGUGUCACGCCUGACGCCGACGACUCCUUACCCGCUGCUGCCUAUAAGUUUGAAGUCAAUGCUACCGCGGACUUUUCUAUUGUGCGCUUGCUCCCACCAGUAUGUGAAGCCUGGACAACGACCGUAGCGUACCAGUUACCCGAGGGGCAAAGAAGCAGCUGUCAUCACUACUUGCUUCACCAGCUAACUUACAAGACAUCCGACGCCGAAGAAAAGUCAAUGGUCCCCUGGCUCACUGUCGAAUGUACGCACUCGUUCGCAUGAGUGAUGCAAGAUCAUGCUAUCCAGCCCCGCCCUGCAAGACUAACUCCGACUGAUGCACAGGGACCAGAAGGCCCUGGAAGCAUAUGUAACCCUUGAAAAGGGAGCCACCCCAUCAGGUCAGACUCACCUAUGCCACCCUCUUACACGGCGCUUGAGGCGGAACCCCAAACUCGAGGCCGAGCGCUGCUGGAGAAGGGGACGUGGACCAGCAGUGAAAUCGAAGAGGCGAAAGGUCUGAGGCCAUAUCUGAAACCCCUAUAGCUCCGGCCCAUGCAAAAGAAAACUGAGAUGUGCAACGACAAAAACAGAUCUGCCCAGGUACUGACCGACCCAGCAGCAGACAGCAACCCAGCAGCAGCAGCACCAGCCACGCCACCUGGAGAGGCACGGAAACUUGGGCAGGAGCGGCCUCAGCGAAAAGCGUCAUUACAUUCGGAGGGAAAAAACUUACAGACCAAUCUACUAAUCAAGCCACGUACUGCAUGGCGCUGUACCUCAUGAGUUCCAGUGAUGUGCAUGGCCUUACGCCGCGUUCAUGGCAGAGUGACCACUUAUAAAGCUCGACAGGAAGGAAAGAAAGGUGCCGGACUGCUUAUGCGCAUCCGCGGUCUCAAGGCGGAGUCGUCGGUGACUUUGGAUGCCCCGGUUGGAGGAAGGUGUGACCGCAGAUUUCCCUGACCUAGCGAUCUAGGGAAGACCGAAGGAAUUUAAGCGGACUGCUGAACUGUGUGCUAGUGCGCUCUGAUGUGUGCUCGCCAGAAAGAUGUAGUCUACUGACCUGUAGCUCACGCUACGAGGACGAUUACUGCGCUCCGUGCUCAGGCCAGUGCCACACCCUUUGUUCUAUGUACGUAAGUUUGCAGUUUCAAUGAAAAUAA